CAGCAGUCGGGAAUAUUGCGCAAUGGAGGAAACUCUGACGCAGUGACGCCGCGUAUAGGAAGAAGGUUUUCGGAUUGUAAACUAUUGUCGUUAGGGAAGAGAAAGGACAGUACCUAAGGAGGAAGCUCCGGCUAACUACGUGCCAGCAGCCGCGGUAAUACGUAGGGAGCGAGCGUUAUCCGGAAUUAUUGGGUGUAAAGGGUGCGUAGACGGGAAAGCAAGUUAGUUGUGAAAUCCCUCGGCUUAACUGAGGAACUGCAACUAAAACUACUUUUCUUGAGUGCAGGAGAGGUAAGUGGAAUUCCUAGUGUAGCGGUGAAAUGCGUAGAUAUUAGGAGGAACACCAGUGGCGAAGGCGACUUACUGGACUGUAACUGACGUUGAGGCACGAAAGUGUGGGGAGCAAACAGGAUUAGA
RNAcentral lists this ribosomal RNA (417 nucleotides) under uncultured Eubacteriales bacterium. RNAcentral's name for it is "bacterial SSU rRNA". It matches the Rfam family "Bacterial small subunit ribosomal RNA", at positions 349 to 782 of the family's 1533-position model. The record is from RNAcentral. Lineage: Bacteria; Bacillati; Bacillota; Clostridia; Eubacteriales.